Molecule: ribosomal RNA, 785 nt
Filed under: uncultured organism
Description: bacterial SSU rRNA
Rfam family: Bacterial small subunit ribosomal RNA
Source: RNAcentral
GGAGGCAGCAGUGAGGAAUAUUGGUCAAUGGAGGCAACUCUGAACCAGCCAAGCCGCGUGAAGGAAGACUGUUCUAUGAAUUGUAAACUUCUUUUGUGGUAGAGUAAAUAUAGCUACGUGUAGUUAUUUGCAAGUAUACCAUGAAUAAGCAUCGGCUAACUCCGUGCCAGCAGCCGCGGUAAUACGGAGGAUGCAGGCGUUAUCCGGAUUUAUUAGGUUUAAAGGGUGUCUAGGCUGCCACAUAAGUCAGGGGUGAAAGUCGGUUGCUCAACAAUCGAAUUGCCUUUGAAACUGUGUGGCUCGAAUAUAGAUGAGGUAGGCGGAAUGUGUAGUGUAGCGGUGAAAUGCAUAGAUAUUACACAGAACACCAAUUGCGAAGGCAGCUUACCAAACUAUUAUUGACGCUGAAGCACGAAAGCGUGGGUAGCGAACAGGAUUAGAUACCCUGGUAGUCCACGCCGUAAACUAUGCUCACUCGCUGUUGGCAAUACAUGGUCAGCGGCUAAGGGAAACCGAUAAGUGAGCCACCUGGGGAGUACGAUCGCAAGAUUGAAACUCAAAGGAAUUGACGGGGGCCCGCACAAGCGGAGGAACAUGUGGUUUAAUUCGAUGAUACGCGAGGAACCUUACCUGGGCUUAAAUGUAGAGUUGCAUUACGUAGAAAUAUGUAUUUCCUUCGGGACUCUUUACAAGGUGCUGCAUGGUUGUCGUCAGCUCGUGCCGUGAGGUGUCGGGUUAAGUCCCAUAACGAGCGCAACCCCUAUUGUUAGUUACCAGCGCGUAAA